RNAcentral lists this ribosomal RNA (1345 nucleotides) under uncultured bacterium. RNAcentral describes it as "partial 16S ribosomal RNA". It matches the Rfam family "Bacterial small subunit ribosomal RNA", at positions 61 to 1386 of the family's 1533-position model. The record is from RNAcentral.
GUCGAACGGUAACGACCUCAUUACUUUCGGGUAACGAGGGGCGACGAGUGGCGGACGGGUGAGUAACGCAUAGGAAUCUGCCCAGUAGUGGGGGACAACCUGGGGAAACCCAGGCUAAUACCGCAUACGCCCUACGGGGGAAAGCGGGGGAUCUUCGGACCUCGCGCUAUUGGAUGAGCCUAUGUCUGAUUAGCUUGUUGGUAGGGUAACGGCCUACCAAGGCAACGAUCAGUAGCUGGUCUGAGAGGAUGAUCAGCCACACUGCGACUGAGACACGGCGCAGACUCCUACGGGAGGCAGCAGUGGGGAAUAUUGCACAAUGGGCGCAAGCCUGAUGCAGCAAUGCCGCGUGUGUGAAGAAGGCCUGCGGGUUAUAAAGCACUUUCAGUAGCGAAGAAAAGCCUGGGGUUAAUACCCCCGGGUCUUGACGUUAGCUACACAAGAAGCACCGGCUAACUCCGUGCCAGCAGCCGCGGUAAUACGGAGGGUGCGAGCGUUAAUCGGAAUUACUGGGCGUAAAGCGCGCGUAGGCGGUUUGGUAAGUCGGAUGUGAAAUCCCCCGGCUCAACCGGGGACCUGCAUUUGAUACUGCAUCACUUGAGUACAGGAGAGGAGAGCGGAAUUUUCGGUGUAGCGGUGGAAUGUGUAGAUAUCGAAAAGAACACCAGUGGCGAAGGCGGCUCUCUGGCCUGAUACUGACGCUGACGCGCGAAAGCUAGGGGAGCAAACAGGAUUAGAUACCCUGGUAGUCCUAGCUGUAAACGUUGGGCACUAGGUGUUGGAGGUAUCGACCCCUUCAGUGCCGAAGCUAACGCAUUAAGUGCCCCGCCUGGGGAGUACGGCCGCAAGGCUGAAACUCAAAGGAAUUGACGGGGGCCUGCACAAGCGGUGGAGCAUGUGGUUUAAUUCGAGGCAACGCGAAGAACCUUACCUGGGCUUGACAUGUACCUGAAAGCCCUAGAGAUAGGGCCCCUCUUCGGAGCGGGUACACAGGUGCUGCAUGGCUGUCGUCAGCUCGUGUCGUGAGAUGUUGGGUUAAGUCCCGCAACGAGCGCAACCCUUGUCCUUAGUUGCCAGCAGGUGAAGCUGGGCACUCUAAGGAGACCGCCGGUGAUAAAUCGGAGGAAGGUGGGGAUGACGUCAAGUCCUCAUGGCCUUUAUUGUCCAGGGCUACACACGUGCUACAAUGGCCGAUAUAAAGGGUUACAAUACCGCGAGGUGGAGUCAAUCCCAAAAAGUCGGUCCCAGUUCGGAUUGCAGUCUGAAACUCGACUGCAUGAAGUCGGAAUCGCUAGUAAUCGCGGAUCAAGCGAUGCCGCGGUGAAUAUGUUCCCAGGCCUUGUAC